RNAcentral lists this long non-coding RNA (3928 nucleotides) under Homo sapiens (human). RNAcentral's name for it is "HSALNT0361058". The record is from RNAcentral. Lineage: Eukaryota; Metazoa; Chordata; Mammalia; Primates; Hominidae.
GAACGGUCGCCGCGUCGCCUCAGCACGGACCUCCAGGGAGCUCCUCAGCAAGAUCCUGCCAGGGCGCCCCUCAGCGCGAUUCUGCCGGGGUGCCUCUCAGCGUGGUCCUCCCCGGGGCUCCUCAGCACGAUUCUCCCGGUGCGCCCCUCAGCGCGGUCCUCCUCGGUGCGUCAGUCAUCGUGGUUCUCCCCGGCGCGCCCCUCGGCGCGGUUCUCCUCGGGGCUCCUCAGCGCGGCGCUCUUCUGGGGGCUCCUCGGCGCAGUUCUCCCCGGGGACUCCUCGGCGCCGUUCUCCUCGGGGCACCCGGGGCUUUUCGGCGCGGUUCUCCCCGGGGGUUCUUCGGCGCGGUUGUCCCCGGGGGUUCUUCGGCGCGGUUCUCUCCGGGGGCCUCUCGCCGCGGUUCUGUUCUCCCCGGGGGCUCCUCAGCAUGGUUCUCCUCCGCGCGGUCCUCCCUGGGCCUCCUCAGCGCGGCACUCUCCUGGGGGCUCCUCAGCGCGGCACUCUCCCCGGGGGCUCCUCAGCGCGGCACUCUCCCGGCGGCUCCUCAGUGCGGUUCUCCCAGACUCUCCUCAGCGCGGCCCUCCCCAUCUCUCUGGGAGGGUUUGAACACGGUCAGCACGGACCUGGGCGGACGGCGCGGGACGGGUGAUCACUGGCGUUGCUGAGGUGAGCUGUGUGCCCCGCGGCCGUCCCAGAUCACAGGCGUCAGCAGUGCAGCCUGGCCUGGGCAGUGCGCUCCCAUCUGCACCUUAUGGACAGCGUGGCCAGGGUCGAGGUCCGAGUUCCUGGCCGCGUCCCAAGGAUCGGAUUCCGGGUCUAUAGUUCUCAUGGUGGUUCAGAGUGGGCUGAAUUGGGAUUGGAGUCUGGAAUCCGCAUCGUGGUUCUGAGUCCGCGCUAUUGGGAUGGAAGUUGGGAAUCCAUGUUGUGGUUUUGAGUCAAAGCCCGAAUUGGGACCGGAGUCGGAAAUCCACUUAGUGGUUCUGAGUCAGGGCCCGAAUUAGGAUCGGAGGUGGGAAUCCCCGUUGUGGUUCUGAGUUAGGUAUCCUAGUUGGGAUCAGAAUUCGGGUCUAGGGUCCACAUCCUGGCUGGGAGUUUGCCUGAGUUGGGAUCUGAGUAGUUGGGGUCCCAGUCAGUCCGGGUCUGGAGUCCGCAUGGUGGUUUUAGGUAGGGCCUCAUUAGGGACAGAGGAUCGGGAGUCUGAGUUGGGGACCUGAAUCCCGGUCUGGAGUCUGCAUCAUGGCUCUGAGUUGAGAUCCAAGGGAGGUCCGAGUUGGCGACUGGAGUCAGGGUCUGGAGUCUGUCUUUGGGUAGAGGUUCUGAAUGGGGGGCUCUGAGUUAAGAGAUUGGGAUUGGGGUUAGAGGUCUCAGUGGGGUAUGGGAGUCAGGAAUUGAAGUCGAAGUUCUGCCUCUAGGUGGGGAUUCUGAGUCAGGAAUUAGGGGGCGAAGUAAAGGUUGCAGUCUGAGUUGGGGGUGGUGAUCACCUGCCAGGUGAGAGGUAGUGGUAGAAGUCUCUUGGUCAUAUUGGAGAUGAGAGUUGAUCAGAUGCAGGUCUCAGUCUGGGUAGUAGGCUUGAAGGGCCACCACUAUGUUCAGAUCCCAGUACCCCACUGUGGUCCCUGAGCAGGUCAAAUAGCCUUUUAUAUAAAAUUGAGAGUAAGAGUGCCUUCCCACAGCACUGUUCUGGUUAUGAAAGAGAAUAAUUCAUCCAGGUAGAAUAGUUCUGUCUUAGAUUAUCACAAAGUAUAAAAACUUUCCUGAUAAUAUCCACAUUUGAUGUGCAUUUACCAGUUCUUUCUUUACUGUGGUGCCCCUUUUGCUAGACCAAAAGCUCCCAACGAGGAACUCUGUUUUGUUUUCUGCUGCCUGCUCUGUACCCAGCCAAGAGCCUGAUACACAGCCUUACUCAGUCAGUACUUGAAGGAAAGCAGGCAGGCAGGAUUAACCAGAUUUCUAUGGUGUCUCAAAUGAUCCAUUUCUGCACCUGUUUUCCAGAUACUCAGUAGGAGAAAAAUUUAAGGAUUGAGUUGCUUGAUUAUGGGUGUAUUUUAAUGUGUUUCCUAACAUGCUGAGGAGAAAAGUGGGUCUGUUUCAGGAUUUAUGCUCCAGCUAGAGGGAUUUUUUAAAAUUGCGAAUCAGAGCAUGUCCAAAUUCAGAUAGAAAGCACAAGAAAACUAUAAAGAAUUUCCCUUAUGAAUGUAGAUGCAGAAGUUCCUUGUACAAUGCUAGCUAACUGAAUCCAAUAAUAUGUAUUAAACAACAAUUCUUAAACAAGUGGGAUUGCUCUUAGGAAUGCAAAGAUGAUCCAAUAUCAGAAACUUUAUCCAUGUAAUUCACAUUAAGAGGCUACAGGAGAAAAACCAUAUGGUUCCCUCAAUAGAGGCAGAAAAAAAUGAUGUGAUAAAGUUUAACGCCUAUGUGUGAUUUUGGGGUAGUGGAGUACACCACUUAGCAAGCCAGGACUAGAGAGGAACUUCUUCAACUUGAUACAAGUUAUAAACCAAAACUUAACUUUUCAGUAAACUUGAUAGAGAAAUUAAAAGUGUAUCAUUCUCUUUAAGAUAAGGAGUAGGCCAAGGAUGUCAUCCUGGCCAUACCCUAAUACAAGAAAAAGAAAUGGGGAUGUGAGGAUCAGGUAGGAAGUGAUAAAACUUAGUGUAGCUCAUAGGGUUGAUGGUCUCCAUAAAGAUUCUCAAACAUUUUGGUGUUACGACUUGUUGUAUUCUUAAAAGUUAUUGAAACCCCCAAAGGGCUUUUCUUGAUAGAGAUUCUAUCUGUUGAUAGUUACCAUCUUAGAAGUUAAAACUAAGAAAUGUUUAAAGCAGAACUAUACAAGCACAUAUUCCACUGGGGUCAUGGUGUGCUGCCUCUGGAAAACUCUUUAUCUUUGUGAGAAUGAAAGAAAAGGCAAAUAAUGUCGAGUAUUAUUAUGAAAAUGUUUUUGACCUUUCCUGAAAGGGUCUGGGGGGCUCUCUGGAAUCCCCAGACUACACUUUGAAAAUUACUGGGCUACAUGGAAAAAAAAAAUUAAGGAACUUAACAACUAAAGAGAGAUUUCAGAUUUCAGAGAGGUUUUGGAUAUAAGAUCAGUGUACUCAAAACAAAAAACAAAAACAAACCACAUUUCUUUAUGCCAAUAGCAACUGACUAAAAAAAAGCAUAAUAGAGAUUAGGACAGCAAUCAGAAUAGCAGCAAAAUUUAUACCAGUCUAGGAAUUAACAAAGACGACGACUUUUAUGGAAAAAAUUUUAAAACUCUAUUGGAGGAUAUAGAGGGAGAUCUUUCCAUAUGCAGAGACAUUUUAUUUUCUUGAACAGGGCAACUUGGCAUUAGAAUGACGUCAGGAUUUUCCAAAUCUGUUAAGUUCAACAGGACUCCACUCAAACUUCCAGUUGGAGGGCUUGAGUAAUUUAACAAACAUAUUCUAAAAUGUAUGUGGAAGAAAAAUAUUUGUAAAUGCCAACUGAACUUUUGAAAAGGAGAGCAGAGGACUUCUGCUGGCAGAUACCAGGGCACACGCCAACUUCAGCAAUCAGAGCGGUGUGGUGACAGAGGCCCAGAAGAGAGCUCAGAGGUAACUCCAAGUCUAGAGGAAGGGGACAUGUGAUAAAGGUGGCACCACAUAUCAGUGGGGACUGUUCAGAAGAUGAUGUUGGAAAGCCAGCCCUAAAAUGGAGGAAUAGGAAUAUGGAUUCCUAACUGAGCCCCUAGGAAAAGUAGACUCCAAAUGGACUAAAUAUUUGAAAGCAAAAGGUAGUUGCCAUUUGUUUAAUAGGAGAAAAAAUGAAUAAUCUCCAGGGCCAGGGUGGCCGUGGGGUUCUUAAACAGGAUCCAGAAAGCACAAACCUCAAGACUAAAAUGUAUGAACUUGAAUGCAUUAAUGAUUAUGGAUUAAGGAUUUCUGUUAAAUAAAUCCAUCAUGGCAAGGGU